CAUUAAACGUUGAACGGUCCAAAUUAAUUCUUGAGGUUCAGAGAGCUGAUGCGUGGUGGAAGUCAGCCCUUGAGAUUAAUGGCACAACCGUGAGUUUGAUCAUCGAAUAAAGAUGAUCCGUUAGCCCGUUAUCGCUGUAGUUUUAGAAACUACAUAAGUUUAAGCUGCGUGAGCAGUUUAUUAAACUGAGGUGGCACCGCGAUAAAUUCGUCCUCUUG
This 218-nucleotide non-coding RNA is filed under the name Latilactobacillus curvatus. Lineage: Bacteria; Bacillati; Bacillota; Bacilli; Lactobacillales; Lactobacillaceae. The record is from RNAcentral.